This 247-nucleotide ribosomal RNA is filed under the name uncultured bacterium. Its description in RNAcentral is "partial 16S ribosomal RNA". It matches the Rfam family "Bacterial small subunit ribosomal RNA", at positions 524 to 769 of the family's 1533-position model. The record is from RNAcentral.
UACGUAGGGUGCGAGCGUUAAUCGGAAUUACUGGGCGUAAAGCGUGCGCAGGCGGUUUUGUAAGUCAGAUGUGAAAUCCCCGGGCUCAACCUGGGAACUGCGUUUGAAACUACAAGGCUAGAGUGUAGCAGAGGGGGGUAGAAUUCCACGUGUAGCAGUGAAAUGCGUAGAGAUGUGGAGGAAUACCAAUGGCGAAGGCAGCCCCCUGGGUUAACACUGGACGCUCAUGCACGAAAGCGUGGGGAGC